RNAcentral lists this ribosomal RNA (629 nucleotides) under Burkholderia sp. LIG2ABAA. Its description in RNAcentral is "bacterial SSU rRNA". It matches the Rfam family "Bacterial small subunit ribosomal RNA", at positions 16 to 638 of the family's 1533-position model. The record is from RNAcentral. Lineage: Bacteria; Pseudomonadati; Pseudomonadota; Betaproteobacteria; Burkholderiales; Burkholderiaceae.
AUCCUGGCUCAGAUUGAACGCUGGCGGCAUGCCUUACACAUGCAAGUCGAACGGCAGCACGGGUGCUUGCACCUGGUGGCGAGUGGCGAACGGGUGAGUAAUACAUCGGAACAUGUCCUGUAGUGGGGGAUAGCCCGGCGAAAGCCGGAUUAAUACCGCAUACGAUCUACGGAUGAAAGCGGGGGACCUUCGGGCCUCGCGCUAUAGGGUUGGCCGAUGGCUGAUUAGCUAGUUGGUGGGGUAAAGGCCUACCAAGGCGACGAUCAGUAGCUGGUCUGAGAGGACGACCAGCCACACUGGGACUGAGACACGGCCCAGACUCCUACGGGAGGCAGCAGUGGGGAAUUUUGGACAAUGGGCGAAAGCCUGAUCCAGCAAUGCCGCGUGUGUGAAGAAGGCCUUCGGGUUGUAAAGCACUUUUGUCCGGAAAGAAAUCCUUGAUUCUAAUACAGUCGGGGGAUGACGGUACCGGAAGAAUAAGCACCGGCUAACUACGUGCCAGCAGCCGCGGUAAUACGUAGGGUGCAAGCGUUAAUCGGAAUUACUGGGCGUAAAGCGUGCGCAGGCGGUUUGCUAAGACCGAUGUGAAAUCCCCGGGCUCAACCUGGGAACUGCAUUGGUGACUGGCA